CUCUCAGAGCGAACGCUGGCGGCAGGCCUAACACAUGCAAGUCGAACGGACCCUUCGGGGUUAGUGGCGGACGGGUGAGUAACACGUGGGAACGUGCCUUUAGGUUCGGAAUAGCUCCUGGAAACGGGUGGUAAUGCCGAAUGUGCCCUUCGGGGGAAAGAUUUAUCGCCUUUAGAGCGGCCCGCGUCUGAUUAGCUAGUUGGUGAGGUAAUGGCUCACCAAGGCGACGAUCAGUAGCUGGUCUGAGAGGAUGACCAGCCACAUUGGGACUGAGACACGGCCCAAACUCCUACGGGAGGCAGCAGUGGGGAAUCUUGCGCAAUGGGCGAAAGCCUGACGCAGCCAUGCCGCGUGAAUGAUGAAGGUCUUAGGAUUGUAAAAUUCUUUCACCGGGGACGAUAAUGACGGUA
This 410-nucleotide ribosomal RNA is filed under the name Caulobacter sp. IIIA2-1. RNAcentral describes it as "bacterial SSU rRNA". It matches the Rfam family "Bacterial small subunit ribosomal RNA", at positions 21 to 477 of the family's 1533-position model. The record is from RNAcentral. Lineage: Bacteria; Pseudomonadati; Pseudomonadota; Alphaproteobacteria; Caulobacterales; Caulobacteraceae.